AUGAACUAUAUUAUCAAAACCACCUGCCUGUGCAAAGCAAAAUGGUGUAGGACUGUCUUAACUUGCUUCCUAAGUAUGAGGCGUCAAUAUCUUGCAAUCUCCACAGAGCAAAAACAAUUAAGCUCUGGAACUAUAAUGGCUCGUGGUCUCAGGCAGACCUCGAGACAAACAUUUGCUAAAUCUGCAGAUAUAUUUCAGUUUAGUGAUGCAGAGCAUAGAGAUGGCAUACCUCUUUCAGUCAGUGGAGGCCUCCAUGAAGAAUUUUGGCAGUCUGCUCAUGGUAAGGCGUUUGAUAUGGAUCUCCUCCUCUAA
This 312-nucleotide ribosomal RNA is filed under the name Triticum aestivum (bread wheat). RNAcentral's name for it is "partial small subunit ribosomal RNA". The record is from RNAcentral. Lineage: Eukaryota; Viridiplantae; Streptophyta; Magnoliopsida; Poales; Poaceae.